UUUUUAGCGGCGGACGGGUGAGUAACGUGUGGGCAACCUGCCUUUUACUGGGGAAUAAUCACUGGAAACGGUGACUAAUACCGCAUAAUAUUCUUGGAAGGCAUCUUCCGAGAAGGAAAGGAAAUAUUCGGUAAAAGAUGGGCCCGCAUCUGAUUAGCUAGUUGGUGAGAUAACAGCCCACCAAGGCGACGAUCAGUAGCCGACCUGAGAGGGUGACCGGCCACAUUGGGACUGAGACACGGCCCAAACUCCUACGGAAGGCAGCAG
Molecule: ribosomal RNA, 267 nt
Filed under: uncultured bacterium
Lineage: Bacteria
Description: partial 16S ribosomal RNA
Rfam family: Bacterial small subunit ribosomal RNA
Source: RNAcentral